Molecule: non-coding RNA, 109 nt
Organism: Acanthosepion pharaonis
Lineage: Eukaryota; Metazoa; Mollusca; Cephalopoda; Sepiida; Sepiidae
Source: the annotation of a GenBank genome assembly
GGCAACAUCACAUUGAAACACCGGUUCUUGUUCGAUCACCGAAGUUAAGCAACGUCGAACCUAGUCAGUACCUGGGUGGGUGACCGCUUGGGAAUACCAGGUAUUGUAA